AUGAGGCCACCUUUAAGGAGAUCUGGGACGACGCGAGCUACAAGGCGACUGGUCUGCCCAGGAAGAUCCCCGUGCUUGCGCUCAUCCACCCCACCAACCCCGACGUGGUCUACUUUUUCCUCGACGAGCAUCUGCUCGGUGUCAACGUGCGUGCUCGCAAGGUUGUGGAGUGUGAGGUCUACGAGCUGGUUGCGCCGCCUAGCGAGCACGUCGCCACCCGUUUCAUUCACGCUUGGCAGCUGCCACCAGCUCUCUGCUCAGGUAAUUGUGGGAGAGAGCAUAUGCAAAUGUUCAACUUUCAGGCUAUGUAUGUACGCUUAG
Molecule: ribosomal RNA, 321 nt
Filed under: Triticum aestivum (bread wheat)
Lineage: Eukaryota; Viridiplantae; Streptophyta; Magnoliopsida; Poales; Poaceae
Description: partial small subunit ribosomal RNA
Source: RNAcentral